This 253-nucleotide ribosomal RNA is filed under the name uncultured bacterium. Its description in RNAcentral is "partial 16S ribosomal RNA". It matches the Rfam family "Bacterial small subunit ribosomal RNA", at positions 524 to 776 of the family's 1533-position model. The record is from RNAcentral.
UACGAAGGGGGCUAGCGUUGUUCGGAAUCACUGGGCGUAAAGCGCACGUAGGCGGCUCUUUAAGUCAGGGGUGAAAUCCCGAGGCUCAACCUCGGAACUGCCUUUGAUACUGGGGAUCUCGAGUCCGGGAGAGGUGAGUGGAACUGCGAGUGUAGAGGUGAAAUUCGUAGAUAUUCGGAAGAACACCAGUGGCGAAGGCGACUUACUGGACACAUAUUGACGCUGAGGUGCGAAAGCGUGGGGAGCAAACAGG